This 1188-nucleotide ribosomal RNA is filed under the name uncultured bacterium. Its description in RNAcentral is "bacterial SSU rRNA". It matches the Rfam family "Bacterial small subunit ribosomal RNA", at positions 195 to 1398 of the family's 1533-position model. The record is from RNAcentral.
AUCUUGCAAAUGUAUUUUUUCGGUGUAGGAUGAGGCUAUAUCGUAUCAGCUAGUUGGUAGGGUAACGGCCUACCAAGGCUAUGACGCGUAACUGGUCUGAGAGGAUGAUCAGUCACACUGGAACUGAGACACGGUCCAGACUCCUACGGGAGGCAGCAGUAGGGAAUAUUGCUCAAUGGGGGAAACCCUGAAGCAGCAACGCCGCGUGGAGGAUGACACUUUUCGGAGCGUAAACUCCUUUUCUUGGGAAAGAAUUAUGACGGUACCCAAGGAAUAAGCACCGGCUAACUCCGUGCCAGCAGCCGCGGUAAUACGGAGGGUGCAAGCGUUACUCGGAAUCACUGGGCGUAAAGGACGCGUAGGCGGAUUAUCAAGUCUCUUGUGAAAUCUAACGGCUUAACCGUUAAACUGCUUGGGAAACUGAUAAUCUAGAGUAAGGGAGAGGCAGAUGGAAUUCUUGGUGUAGGGGUAAAAUCCGUAGAGAUCAAGAAGAAUACCCAUUGCGAAAGCGAUCUGCUGGAACUUAACUGACGCUAAUGCGUGAAAGCGUGGGGAGCAAACAGGAUUAGAUACCCUGGUAGUCCACGCCCUAAACGAUGUAUACUAGUUGUUGCUUCGCUAGUCGAGGCAGUAAUGCACCUAACGGAUUAAGUAUACCGCCUGGGGAGUACGGUCGCAAGAUUAAAACUCAAAGGAAUAGACGGGGACCCGCACAAGCGGUGGAGCAUGUGGUUUAAUUCGAAGAUACGCGAAGAACCUUACCCGGACUUGAUAUCUAACAAAUCAUCCAGAGAUGGAAGAGUGUCUGCUUGCAGAAAUGUUAAGACAGGUGCUGCACGGCUGUCGUCAGCUCGUGUCGUGAGAUGUUGGGUUAAGUCCCGCAACGAGCGCAACCCACGUCAUUAGUUGCUAACGGUUCGGCCGAGCACUCUAAUGAGACUGCCUUCGUAAGGAGGAGGAAGGUGUGGACGACGUCAAGUCAUCAUGGCCCUUAUGUCCGGGGCGACACACGUGUUACAAUGGCGUAUACAAUAAGACGCAAUAUCGCGAGAUGGAGCAAAUCUAUAAAAUACGUCCCAGUUCGGAUUGGAGUCUGCAACUCGACUCCAUGAAGCCGGAAUCGCUAGUAAUCGUAGAUCAGCCAUGCUACGGUGAAUACGUUCCCGGGUCUUGUACACACCGCCCGUC